Molecule: ribosomal RNA, 108 nt
Filed under: Chinchilla lanigera (long-tailed chinchilla)
Lineage: Eukaryota; Metazoa; Chordata; Mammalia; Rodentia; Chinchillidae
Source: RNAcentral
AUCAGGUAGAUACCACCUGAAUGCGCCUGAUCUUGUCUGAUCUCGGAAGCUAAGCAGGGUCAGCCGGGUUAGUACUUGAAUGGGAGAUAAAGACCAUCUAUUCUGAUU